This 743-nucleotide ribosomal RNA is filed under the name uncultured bacterium. RNAcentral's name for it is "bacterial SSU rRNA". It matches the Rfam family "Bacterial small subunit ribosomal RNA", at positions 8 to 796 of the family's 1533-position model. The record is from RNAcentral.
AGAGUUUGAUCCUGGCUCAGAGCGAACGCUGGCGGCAGGCCUAACACAUGCAAGUCGAACGCACCCUUCGGGGUGAGUGGCGGACGGGUGAGUAACACGUGGGGAACGUACCCUUUGGUUCGGAACAACUCAGGGAAACUUGAGCUAAUACCGGAUGUGCCCUUCGGGGGAAAGAUUUAUCGCCAUUGGAGCGGCCCGCGUCUGAUUAGCUAGUUGGUGAGGUAAAGGCUCACCAAGGCUACGAUCAGUAGCUGGUCUGAGAGGAUGAUCAGCCACACUGGGACUGAGACACGGCCCAGACUCCUACGGGAGGCAGCAGUGGGGAAUCUUGCGCAAUGGGCGAAAGCCUGACGCAGCCAUGCCGCGUGAAUGAUGAAGGUCUUAGGAUUGUAAAAUUCUUUCACCGGGGACGAUAAUGACGGUACCCGGAGAAGAAGCCCCGGCUAACUUCGUGCCAGCAGCCGCGGUAAUACGAAGGGGGCUAGCGUUGCUCGGAAUUACUGGGCGUAAAGGGCGCGUAGGCGGGACGACAAGUCGGGGGUGAAAGCCCGGGGCUCAACCUCGGAAUUGCCUUCGAAACUGUCGACCUAGAGUACGGGAGAGGUGUGUGGAACUCCGAGUGUAGAGGUGAAAUUCGUAGAUAUUCGGAAGAACACCAGUGGCGAAGGCGACACACUGGCCCGUUACUGACGCUGAGGCGCGAAAGCGUGGGGAGCAAACAGGAUUAGAUACCCUAGUAGUCC